RNAcentral lists this long non-coding RNA (942 nucleotides) under Homo sapiens (human). RNAcentral's name for it is "HSALNT0337795". Lineage: Eukaryota; Metazoa; Chordata; Mammalia; Primates; Hominidae. The record is from RNAcentral.
GCCUUGAACCUGGACUGCCUUCUGUUUGAAGACUGGUUGAUCUUCAGUCCACCUUUACUCCGAGGGUCCAGUCCCACUCUUGGCAGACUCUGGACUCCAACAUCUGUUUGCAUAGCCCCAUGAAGCCAUCCAAAGCCCAUGUGAGCCACUAGGAUCAAAAGGCUGCUGACUCUUUACCACAUCACUACUGCCACAGUUAGGAAGCCACCAAGACAAGGAAGGAAUCCAUCCAUAAUCAGAAACCUACCACCCUCAGAAGCCACAUCCGCUGUUGCCUGCUCCAGACCCCACUGUGCCUGCGAAGAUUUUCAGCUUCAAAGUGGAUGCCACGUGCCCUGCUCUCAGCACCUCAGAGCCAGCGACCAGAGCCCAAGACCUCAGCUAAUGCUGCCCAGAAACCUGAAUAUCUCCCCUGCUGGGCUUGGCAGCAAGAGCAGCAGAUGCCUGGUCCCUGCUGCAAUUCCCCCACAUUAGAGUGACUGAAUCUGCACCACAUCCUGACUCUGGUUGUAAAGGAGUCUGGGAAAUGUAGUUUUUAGCUUUCCUGUUUCUGUAGUAUAGGAAGGCACAGCAGAAAGCAGAUGCUACCUGAGAGAAACAGAAGAUAAAACUACCACCAGGACGCACCAGCAGCAUGACACAGGGCCAGUGACUUCGGCUGCUAAAAUCAAGACGUACACCAGAGGGCGCUGCAGUUAAAGAGCGAGGCAGAGACUGUUGGAUGGGCGGCAGGCCAGAGCCAGCUGGGACCACAGGAGGGACCACAGGAGGAAGCUGGUGUGAGUGCUGUGAGGCCCUCAGAUUUAAGUGAAUGGUUUGGAAACCUCCGGGGAGAAGUCUACUUCCUGUUGCUACUUUUCUUCUAAAUGAAUACAGUGUAAAUAUCUGGCCAGCACAGCAGCAGCAGCUCAACCACAUGCUUUGAGAACUAAGCCAAAAAAA